This 508-nucleotide ribosomal RNA is filed under the name uncultured bacterium. RNAcentral's name for it is "bacterial SSU rRNA". It matches the Rfam family "Bacterial small subunit ribosomal RNA", at positions 22 to 518 of the family's 1533-position model. The record is from RNAcentral.
GGUCAGAACGAACGCUGGCGGCGCGUCUUAAGCAUGCAAGUCGAACGGCAAGAGGUAGCAAUACCUCCUAGAGUGGCGGACUGGUGAGUAACACGUGGGUGACAUACCCUUCAGAUGGGGAUAGCUAUUAGAAAUAGUAGAUAAUACCGAAUACGAGCACAGGGGUUAGAGAUCUGUGAGGAAAGGAGCUAAGGCUCCGCUGAAGGAAUGGCCUGCGGCCCAUUAGCUAGUUGGUGAGGUAAGAGCCCACCAAGGCGAUGAUGGGUAUCCGGCCUUAGAGGGUGAACGGACACAUUGGGACUGAGAUACGGCCCAGACUCCUACGGGAGGCAGCAGCUAAGAAUAUUCCGCAAUGGACGAAAGUCUGACGGAGCGACGCCGCGUGGAUGAAGAAGGCCGGAAGGUUGUAAAAAUCCUUUUGAAACUGAAGAAUAAGCGUUGUAGGGAAUGACAGCGUGGUGACAGUAGGUUUUGAAUAAGCAACGGCUAAUUACGUGCCAGCAGCGGC